This 484-nucleotide ribosomal RNA is filed under the name uncultured bacterium. RNAcentral's name for it is "partial 16S ribosomal RNA". It matches the Rfam family "Bacterial small subunit ribosomal RNA", at positions 28 to 507 of the family's 1533-position model. The record is from RNAcentral.
GAUUAACGCUAGCGGCAGGCAUAAUACAUGCCAGUUGAACGGCAGCACAGGUAGCACUCCUGGGUGGCGAGUGGCGCACGGGUGCGUAACACGUAUGCAACCUACCCUAUACAGGCGAAUAACCUUUAGAAAUGAGGGCUAAUACGCCGUAGUAUUACAGAUGGGCAUCUAUUUGUAAUUAAAGAUUUAUCGGUAUAGGAUGGGCAUGCGUCCCAUUAGUUAGUUGGUAAGGUAACGGCCUACCAAGACGAUGAUGGGUAGGGGAUCUGAGAGGACUUACCCCCACACUGGUACUGAGACACGGACCAGACUCCUACGGGAGGCAGCAGUAAGGAAUAUUGGGCAAUGGCCGCGAGGCUGACCCAGCCAUGCCGCGUGCAGGAAGACGGCCUUAUGGGUUGUAAACUGCUUUUAUACGGGAAUAAUAGAGUGUACGCGUACAUUUAUGCAAGUAUCGUAUGAAUAAGCAUCGGCUAACUCCGUG